Molecule: ribosomal RNA, 381 nt
Filed under: bacterium AW14
Lineage: Bacteria
Description: bacterial SSU rRNA
Rfam family: Bacterial small subunit ribosomal RNA
Source: RNAcentral
GCCUAAAACCAUGCAAGUCGAACGGACCCUUCGGGGUUAGUGGCGGACGGGUGAGUAACACGUGGGAACGUGCCUUUAGGUUCGGAAUAGCUCCUGGAAACGGGUGGUAAUGCCGAAUGUGCCCUUCGGGGGAAAGAUUUAUCGCCUUUAGAGCGGCCCGCGUCUGAUUAGCUAGUUGGUAAGGUAAAAGCUUACCAAGGCGACGAUCAGUAGCUGGUCUGAGAGGAUGACCAGCCACACUGGGACUGAGACACGGCCCAGACUCCUACGGGAGGCAGCAGUGGGGAAUCUUGCGCAAUGGGCGAAAGCCUGACGCAGCCAUGCCGCGUGAAUGAUGAAGGUCUUAGGAUUGUAAAAUUCUUUCACCGGGGACGAUAAUGA